GAAGGAGGUGUUGACACUUUUGUUUCUAGACAAAGGAAAUCAAAAACGCUUUGUAACACUGCGUUUAAUCACUUGCUAAAUGAAGAUGGAGAUCGAACAAGAAGGAGAAGAGAAGGAGAAUUGAUCAUCCGUAGAAAAAACAAACGAAAGCCAAAGUGGAGCAAGGUAAGUUGUUGGAUUGUUGGUUGGUUGUUCACAAAGUUCUGAUUUCAGUCUUCUUCCUCUUCCAUUUCUCUCUCUAUUCUAAUUCCGGCUAAUGAAACAAGAGAUCAUGGCCUCUCUCUCUGUCCCUCUCUGCGAAACCCAAAAGGCUGAAAAAAUUCAGCCAACGGUGUCGGCGGUUUCAUCACCAACAUAUGUCUUGGCGGUAGAGAGCUGCUUAACGGAGUUGCGUAAGAGGAGGUCGAGAUGUUUCCAUUGCUCGCUGGAGUUCCAUAGAUCUCGCCGAUGUUACCCCAUUUCACGAUGAGCUCUCUGAUGAUGAAAUUGUCUCCACCUAAUCCUCAUCCGCCAGAAAAGUUAGAAUAAGAGACGAGUGAGCUCAGAGCCGUGUCGAUGAUGCUCUGUUUCAUUGACUUUUCCCAGAACAAACAAUCUCGCCAUAGAUUGCGCUAGAGCUGAGACUCGGGUCUAUUGGCUGGGUUGUCGAAACCAAGUUAAGCAUUGCCGAUAAAAAUACAGUGACGUCAUCAUCGGCAGGGGUGAAACUCCUACAUUCAUAAACAGCAAUCUUAGACGAGUUUUGUUUCCUGAAACUGGUCGUAUAAAGUACAAAGGACUUGGGUUUGGUAUAUAACUUGAAUGACUAAUUUUGUUUCGAUUGUACUUUUAUUCCAUGACCUUACUUCAUCAUGAUAGUGCUUCAAUUGUUACAAGUAGUGUUAAUUCAUUCACAACAUUGUUAAACUGUUCUCCUAUCAUCUUCUUUGCAGUUUAGAAGCAGUGGACGGUCACAAGAUAAGUAUAUGAUUCCUUCUUUGUAUUUCCCCCCAGGUCUGUCCUGUAUGCACUAAGAGGGUGGGAUUGAAUAUCGUUGGCCAUAUUACGACGCAACAUGCCAAUUUUUUUAAGAUAUCCUUUCAACUUUCAAUAUCUGAUGGUUAAAUCUGUUUAUUAUCUUGGUUCUCUAUAGUACAUAUAAUAAUCAUUUGGUACAACUUAAGAGUGGAUUUUUUUAAUUCCUUGAUGAGAGGUUUUUACGUUCAGCGAAAGAGAAGGUUGUGAAGAGGAGGAUAUAGCUCUACUUAUCUCGCCUUGAAAAAGGAAUUCCGGGAAGCAAACUUACAGUCUCUUCUUGGUGCUUCUACAAGUUUCACUUCUUUAACCUGAUCCGCUGCUGUCAUCUUUUAUUUUUAAUUCUCCUUCACUCAAUGAGUCUGCAAACAAAACUGCUACACCUGCUGUGACUGAAGAAAACUCAGCUACAAAAGUCUCAUUUAGAGAAUCUCUCAAAAGGUAUAUAUUGACAUAUACUCUUAACCAAUAAUCAAAACGUAUAUGUAGACGCUAAAGUUAAAAACUUUUGCUGGCUA
This is a non-coding RNA of Camelina sativa (false flax), 1532 nucleotides long. The record is from RefSeq and is a predicted model, not a curated record. Lineage: Eukaryota; Viridiplantae; Streptophyta; Magnoliopsida; Brassicales; Brassicaceae.